Nicotiana tabacum (common tobacco) is the source of this 2285-nucleotide non-coding RNA. The record is from RefSeq and is a predicted model, not a curated record. NCBI's taxonomy places the organism in Eukaryota, Viridiplantae, Streptophyta, Magnoliopsida, Solanales, Solanaceae.
AUAUUGAAGAAUCUUUUCAGUUUCUCAGUCAUUUUGGACUUGUUGUCCCCUAAAUUAGCCAUAAUAUAGUAAUACAGAGUUUGACAAAACUCAAAGAAAUAACCACUCUGUAAAAUAUUUUCAUGGAAAAUGUUUUCUAGAAAAUGUUUUCAUAGAAAAUAAAUAGUUUUAUCACUUAAUUUCCGUUGUUUGGUUGGUGGGUGAAAAACUUUUUCCGAAAAAUAUUUUUUAGUGUUUGGUUAAAGAAAGAAAAUAUUUUCACUACAACAAAUUUGGCCUAUGACUACACUUAUUUUAAACUACGCCUGAAAAGAGUUGCUAGAGGUAUUUGUAGGCACGCUUUUAUUUGUGUGGCCUUUAUUACGAGCUUUUGGCAACGGAAUAACCGAAGCAUACAAAUCAAGCGUUGAAGUCUUGUUGUUCAGUAAGUUGAAGUGAUGGUGAAUUCUACUUAUCCGUGUUUUGCUUUGCUACAGAUGAGUUAUUUGAGUUUUUCUGUCAUUUUUUAACUUUUUGGGGUCUUUAAUCUUACGUAAGUAUUCAAUCACUCUCUAGUCUUUUGGUCUCUGCUCAGGUACAAUAGGUUCCUCAACAUUCAGGUCAGUCUUUUUCUAUUUAUGUAUUUGUAUAUGAUAUAAGCUAUGCCAACAGUGUUCAAAAUCAAAGAAUGAAAAAAAAGGCUUGUUUCUUGACAGAAAGAGUGUUAUUUUAUAAAAUUUGGAACUUUUUUAAUGAAAUUAUGGAUCUAUGAAAAAUGAAGGUCUGGUAGUUAAUUCCAUUAUGCAAUUUGAAAUUUUAGUCAAAGAUCUGUAGUAUUUUAUCAUGUUUAACUAGUUCCACUUUGUUUCAACGGUGGAUAGACUCUAAAAUUUCUCUCUAAUUAGAAGUAGAAAAUUGUGGAAAAUAUCAUCUAUAAUGACUCUGUUGAUUAGAGUCGUGCAAUCAAUCUUUGAGGCUUUAGAUAUGUAUCAUGUUCAAUUAAUCAAUGAAUUAAUGACAUUUUUAUUGGUGUUAAUAUUAUGCUACGGAAAAUCUCAGAAAAUGUGAAAACGAGUAAGAGAAAUGGUAUUUUAGUGCUGAGGCUUAAGUUUCCAUUGGUUUACUGAAUUCCUAUUGGUAACCUACUUGUGGUUUAAAUAGAUAAUUUCUCUCUAAGAUGAGCACAAAACUAUCUUGGUUUAGAUAAUUUGUUAACUGAAUUCUUAUUGACAAGGAUUUAAAAGGAACUCCUAUAGCAUCCACGGAUUGAGUGUGAGGCAAGAUAAUGUCAUUGCACAUGAAGCCAAUAGUUGCUGCAUCAUUAAUUGUUCUAAAGCUUUCAUUAGUCUAGAUUGCAUUUUAAAAUUUCUAUUGCUAAGGUUCCAAUUUUGAAAAGCAAUUGUCUUUAUGUAGCUGGUUCAGAUUUGGGAUUAUCUGCUUUAGUGACAAUAAUGCCAAUUUGUUUUGCUCAUAAUUUGCAGCCUCUUGUGAGUUCGAGUCAGGGUUGCUCUGAUGGUAAGCGCCCUCCACUUCCAACCAAGAGGGUGUGAGUUCGAGUCACCCCAAGAGCAAGGUGGGAGUUUUUUGACGGAAGGAUGCCGAGUUUCUAUUGGAAACAGCCUCUCUACCCUAGGGUAGGGGUAAGGUCUGCGUACACACUACCCUCCCCAGACCCCACUAAUGAGAUUAUACUGGGUUGUUGUUGUUGUUGCAGCCUCUUGUAAUUAUUGUUAGAGAAUCAAGCUGUCUUAAUGCCCGCCAGAUGCACUUGGUAUAUUUUAAAGUACCUUUCUGGUAAUAGAAACAUCAUGUGCGUCAUAUACAUGUUUAGAACAUCUAGGGGGUUGUGUUCUUAUUUUAUAACUCUAGAUUCGUUAAGAUAUCACAAUCAUUUUAAUAAUUUUGGACAUCAUUCUGGAUAAAAAGUAAUCUUUCUUUGUAAUUUAUUCAUCUUUCUUUGUUUCUUUCAGUCUUGUGUACCUAAUGUCUUAAGAAGAGAGCUCUCUAUCUCUAGAAUCGAUGCGUCUUAAAAAAUAUACAGAGGGGAGGAGUGAGAUUGACACAUGUACUCAGACAAAUCUGAUACUUUUUCAGUCGCUUAAAUGAGCAGGUAGAUUCCUCUUACCUAAGAAAUGAAAGGGGGCACUUCACCGAAUGAUAGGUAAAAUAUGGGACGUUCAGUAAACAAUCCCUUAGCCCAAGUCCUCGGAGAUACCCAAGGCAGCUCCCCGUGUCCUUUAUACCGAUGAUUUUCAUUAUCAUUCAAUUUUGUAUGAAAACAAUAUAGGUGAGAUUUCAUCAAUUGA